RNAcentral lists this ribosomal RNA (206 nucleotides) under uncultured bacterium. RNAcentral's name for it is "partial 16S ribosomal RNA". It matches the Rfam family "Bacterial small subunit ribosomal RNA", at positions 1287 to 1500 of the family's 1533-position model. The record is from RNAcentral.
CUCAGUUCGGAUCGGAGUCUGNAACCCGACUCCGUGAAGCUGGAUUCGCUAGUAAUCGCGCAUCAGCCAUGGCGCGGUGAAUACGUUCCCGGGCCUUGUACACACCGCCCGUCAAGCCAUGGAAGCCGGGGGUGCCUGAAGUGUGCAGCCGCAAGGAGCGCCCUAAGGUAAAACCGGUGACUGGGGCUAAGUCGUAACAAGGUAGC